AUACGUAGGGGGCGAGCGUUGUCCGGAAUUACUGGGCGUAAAGGGUGCGUAGGCGGGCUGUCAAGUCUGAUGUGAAAGGUUGCGGCUUAACCGUGAGAAGGCAUUGGAAACUGGCAGUCUUGAGUGCAGGAGAGGGAAGCGGAAUUCCCGGUGUAGCGGUGGAAUGCGUAGAUAUCGGGAGGAACACCAGUGGCGAAGGCGGCUUUCUGGACUGUAACUGACGCUGAGGCACGAAAGCUGGGGGAGCAAACAGGAUUAGAUACCCUGGUAGUCCCAGCCGUAAACGAUGGAUACUAGGUGUUGGCGGUUCAGACCGUCAGUGCCGGAGCUAACGUGAUAAGUAUCCCGCCUGGGGAGUACGGUCGCAAGACUGAA
RNAcentral lists this ribosomal RNA (375 nucleotides) under uncultured bacterium. Its description in RNAcentral is "bacterial SSU rRNA". It matches the Rfam family "Bacterial small subunit ribosomal RNA", at positions 523 to 898 of the family's 1533-position model. The record is from RNAcentral.